AAGAUUAUAGAUCUGGUCCAUCUGGAGAGGCAGCUAGCCAUGUUAGAGCUAGACUUGUCGCUAAUAUUGUUCUUCCUUCCAGCAUUACUUCUCUUGUUCUUCGUUUACCUCGAGUCCACUUUAAUUCGCUAAAACACACACACACACACACACACAUAUGUAUGUAUAUAUCAGCUACUCUUUAUGACGUUGCUGAUCAACGUUUUGCGAGCUGGGGUACUUUCGAGUGGUUCCGGCUAGCCUUGGUGGUCCAAGAAGGCUUUGAACCGGCCGCCUUAAUUUCAAAGUGUUUCUAUAAUCAAAUAUGGAAGGUGAC
This 316-nucleotide long non-coding RNA is filed under the name Panax ginseng (ginseng). RNAcentral describes it as "long non-coding RNA (PGIN_LNC011067)". The record is from RNAcentral. Lineage: Eukaryota; Viridiplantae; Streptophyta; Magnoliopsida; Apiales; Araliaceae.